GUGUCAGCAGCCGCGGUAAUACGUAGGGGGCGAGCGUUGUCCGAAUUUACUGGGCGUAAAGCGCGCGUAGGCGGAUAUUUAAGUUGUGGGUGAAAUGCCGGAGCUCAACUGCGGAACUGCCUGCAAAACUGGAUAUCUUGAGGUAUGGAGAGGGAAGUGGAAUUCCUGGUGUAGCGGUGAAAUGCGUAGAUAUCAGGAGGAACACCCGUGGCGAAGGCGGCUUCCUGGCCAUAUCCUGACGCUGAGGUGCGAAAGCUAGGGGAGCGAACGGGAUUAGAUACCCCGGUAGUCCUAGCCGUAAACGAUGGAUACUAGGUGUUGGAAGUAUCGACCCUUCCAGUGCCGCAGCUAACGCAUUAAGUAUCCCGCCUGGGGAGUACGGCCGCAAGGCUGAA
RNAcentral lists this ribosomal RNA (395 nucleotides) under uncultured bacterium. RNAcentral describes it as "bacterial SSU rRNA". It matches the Rfam family "Bacterial small subunit ribosomal RNA", at positions 505 to 898 of the family's 1533-position model. The record is from RNAcentral.